Molecule: ribosomal RNA, 1246 nt
Filed under: metagenome
Description: bacterial LSU rRNA
Rfam family: Bacterial large subunit ribosomal RNA
Source: RNAcentral
UGAGUACGAGACGCUAAGGCGUUGAAGCAGUCUAUGUCAGACUUCCAAGAAAAGCUCGCAAUGUCAUAAACAAAGAAUGCCUGUACCAUAACCGACACAGGUGGGUAGGUACAGUAUACUAAGGGGCGCGAGAUAACUCUCUCUAAGGAACUCGGCAAAAUGACUCCGUAACUUCGGGAGAAGGAGUGCCUUAUUUUUAUAAGGUUGCAAUAACAAGAUCCAAGCAACUGUUUACCAAAAACACAGGUCUCCGCUAAGUCGUAAGACGAUGUAUGGGGGCUGACGCCUGCCCAGUGCCAGAAGGUUAAAGAAGUUGGUUAGUUUUCCGCGAAGCUGAUGACUGAAGCCCUGGUGAACGGCGGCCGUAACGAUAACGGUCCUAAGGUAGCGAAAUUCCUUGUCGGGUAAGUUCCGACCCGCACGAAAGGCGUAAUGAUUUGGAUACUGUCUCGGAGAGGGGCUCGGUGAAAUAGACUUGUCUGUGAAGAUGCGGACUACCUGCACCUGGACAGAAAGACCCUAUGAAGCUUUACUGUAACUUGAGAUUGAAAUUGGACUUUAUUUGCGCAGUAUAGGUGGGAGACGUUGAGAAUAUUCUUGCGGGAAUAUUGGAGUCAUCAGUGAGAUACCACUCUUGUAAUGUUAGAUUUCUAACUUUGGAUCAUGAUCUGGUCAAAGGACAGUUUCAGGCGGGCAGUUUGACUGGGGCGGUCGCCUCCCAAACGGUAACGGAGGCGCACAAAGGUUUCCUCUGAACGUGUAGAAAUCGUAUCUAGAGUGUAAAGGCAUAAGGAAGCUUGACUGUGAGACCUACAAGUCGAGCAGGGACGAAAGUCGGUCUUAGUGAUCUGACGGUGCUGAGUGGAAAGGCCGUCACUCAACGGAUAAAAGUUACUCUAAGGAUAACAGGCUGAUCUCCCCCAAGAGUUCACAUCGACGGGGAGGUUUGGCACCUCGAUGUCGGCUCAUCGCAUCCUGGGGCGGUAGUACGUCCCAAGGGUUGGGCUGUUCGCCCAUGAAAGCGGUACGCGAGCUGGGUUCAGAACGUCGUGAGACAGUUCGGUCCAUAUCCGGUGUAGGCGUUAGAAUAUUGAGAGGAGCCUUCUUUAGUACGAGAGGACCGAGAAGGACAUACCUCUGGUGUACCAGUUAUCGUGCCAACGGUAAACGCUGGGUAGCUAUGUAUGGAGUGGAUAACCGCUGAAAGCAUCUAAGUGGGAAGCCCACCUCAAGAUAAGUAUUCUCA